RNAcentral lists this ribosomal RNA (497 nucleotides) under uncultured bacterium. RNAcentral describes it as "partial 16S ribosomal RNA". It matches the Rfam family "Bacterial small subunit ribosomal RNA", at positions 28 to 507 of the family's 1533-position model. The record is from RNAcentral.
GACGAACGCUGGCGGCGUGCCUAAUACAUGCAAGUAGAACGCUGAAGAGAGGCGCUUGCUCUGCUUGGAUGAGUCGAGAACGGGUGAGUAACGCGUAGGUAAUCCGCUUUGUAGCGGGGGAAAAUUAUUAGAAACGAUAGCUAAUACCGCAUAAGAAUGGACGACACAUGUCAUUUAGUUGAGAGGCGCAAUUUGGCCACGGAAAGACGGACCUGCGGUGUAUUAGCUAGUAGGUGAGGUAACGACGCACGUAGGCGACGAUGCAUAGCCGACCUGAUAGGGUGGUCAGCCACACUGGGACUGUGACACGGCCCAGACUCCUACGGGUGGCAGCAGUAGGGAUUCGGCGGCAAUGGGUGCAAACUUGACCGAGCAACGCCGCAUGAGUGUAGAAGGUUUUCGGGUCGUAAAGCUCUGUUGUAAGUCAAUAACGGGUGUGAGAGUGGAAAGUUCACACUGUGACGGUAACUUACCAGAAAGGGACGGCUAACUACGUG